AACGAACGCUGGCGGCAUGCCUAACACAUGCAAGUCGAACGAGACCUUCGGGUCUAGUGGCGCACGGGUGCGUAACGCGUGGGAAUCUGCCCUUGGGUUCCGAAUAACGCAGAGAAAUUUGUGCUAAUACCGGAUGAUGUCUUCGGACCAAAGAUUUAUCGCCCAGGGAUGAGCCCGCGUAAGAUUAGGUAGUUGGUGGGGUAAUGGCCUACCAAGCCGACGAUCUUUAGCUGGUCUGAGAGGAUGAUCAGCCACACUGGGGCUGAGACACGGCCCAGACUCCUACGGGAGGCAGCAGUGGGGAAUAUUGGACAAUGGGCGCAAGCCUGAUCCAGCAAUGCCGCGUGAGUGAUGAAGGCCUUAGGGUUGUAAAGCUCUUUUACCCGGGAUGAUAAUGACAGUACCGGGAGAAUAAGCUCCGGCUAACUCCGUGCCAGCAGCCGCCGUAA
This 449-nucleotide ribosomal RNA is filed under the name uncultured bacterium. RNAcentral's name for it is "partial 16S ribosomal RNA". It matches the Rfam family "Bacterial small subunit ribosomal RNA", at positions 29 to 523 of the family's 1533-position model. The record is from RNAcentral.